RNAcentral lists this unclassified non-coding RNA (5628 nucleotides) under Apis dorsata (giant honeybee). RNAcentral describes it as "dual specificity tyrosine-phosphorylation-regulated kinase 2, transcript variant X3". The record is from RNAcentral. Lineage: Eukaryota; Metazoa; Arthropoda; Insecta; Hymenoptera; Apidae.
AGUGAAAGUGAUUCGCAUUAUAUUUAUGUGAAAUAAUAGUGUUGCGUUUUUGCGGAAAAAACAGGAACUAACGUUGAAAAUAGGUAUAGCUAUCUAGAGUAAGACUUUAGUCUAUGUCCUCCCUCUUGCUUUGAAACAGGAAUACGUGUGGACACCUGUGCGUACGGCAAGCAGCAACCGUCUGUAUACGUGAGAGUGCAUGCGUGGGUGUUGUAGCAGGCGUUUCUUUAUCAAUAGAGAAAUGGUGCUCCCGCCUUGAGUGUUUCUUGAAUCGACGAGUGUGAAUUUCUCAGUGAAAACUUGUGUUGGAAUUGAGUAAAAAAAAUUAGUGUUAUUAAAUGUAACCUGAAAAGCGUAUCUACCGUUUGUCGGAAUUGAAUGUACAACUCGAUUGAUGAUACAUGCACGCCAAACGUCAAAGGAAGGGAAAGAUAACAAAAACAUCUGUAUUAUUAACAUAAUAGAUACAUAAAAAUGAAAAAUAAUCGCGUCUUAAUAAUCAUAGAAAUUAUAAUAGAGGGUUUACUACCGGAAGCGUCAUGCUACUUCGUUUAACCGUUGAAGAUCUGUGAAAAUCUCUCUCAUGCGAUAUCAUUUUUAUUCGAUUUCAGAGACCAAAAACUAUAUAUAUGAGAAAUUAUACAUGAGUUAGUUACUCUGACUGUUCAUCCGUUUGCCUGGUCGUCCACCCCUUCCAAACCGUCCUGACACAACGUUUAACGGGUGUAUAAAAAGAAUAAACAUGAUGGCGGCGUGAGAGAGAUAGAUAAGUGAGCAAGAGAAGGGAGAAGAGAGAGAAAGAGAGAAAGAAAGAAAGAAAGAAAGAAAGAAAGAAAGAAAGAAAGAGAAGUCAGCCAGCCAGCCAGCUAGAACCAGCCAACCAGUCAGUGUGCCAGAAGCGACGAACUUUGUUUCGUGCUAUCUUUGUCUCAAUGAAAAAAAUUUAUCGUUCCUGAAUAUCCAUCUAUUUUUUUGCAUUUAUUCGCCUUUAUAAAAUCAAAUAAAUCGAGGAGAAUAAUAAGUUUUUAUAAUUAAUGCUGAGAGAACGUUUCGCUUGUAAACAGUUAUCAAGGUGCGGCCACGUUCAUCGUGUUCGCGGUGUUUGCUUCGAUUUUCAUGCAUGCGGGGUCCACGACCGAGCGUGUGAGAAAUUCAGCAUAUCGUCUGGUAACACGGUGGCUUGAUUUCGAUUUUCUAGUGUUUUCGUAGAUGAUAAAAUGAUAUUUCACAGCCGGAAAUAUAUGAUUCGAUGUCACUGAUAACAAGCGUUCAUUGAAUUAUAACAGGAAACUUUGUUUGAAUUAAUAUAAUGUGAAUGAUUUAAAAACAAAACUUAAAAACACAGGAAAUGCGGUGUUGAUGCAUGUAAAUAAAACACGUGAUUAGAUGAAUAACUGCCCGAGAAGACUUAAGAAGUUGCUCUUUUUUAAUUAGAAUUCAUCACAUAAGGAAAUUCUGCAUUUAAAAUUCAUCGAAUUGAAUUGAAUUCAUAGCUACUAAUAGAAUCGAAAAAGCAUUUGUAACAAUUAAAUAAUUCUCCAUCGAUUAUUAAUUGUUAUUUGAUCCAAAACGAUUUAUUUUUGAAUAUUUUUCAUGGCAAAUAGAUCGAAUCGAAUCGUAUAUGGCUAUUUUGAUUAACGGUAAUUACGCUCCAAGAGAGGUGAAUUUCGUUGAGUGUAAAAAUCUAUUAUAUGAAGGACAACGACGCUAUUAUUUCGUCAAAGAUUGACAUCGAGACUUUUGUUCGAGAAAUUCAUCUGUUUAAGGGAAUAGGAUAUUCGAUGGAGCGAAAUCGUCCGUGUUGGCCGGCCUGGUGGCAAUAACCUCCAGUCAGAGGUGGCAGACAGUUUUCGCACGAUGCGUUUGCCCUCGUGCGCGAUAGAUUAUAAAAUUAGACGUUCGAAACUUCGUACGAAGGAAAAAGGAGCAAAAACACAUCGUUCUCAUGCGGUAAAGAAGGUGGAGACACUGACUGGUGAUAACGAAGGAAGGGUCAAGCGACGAAAGGAAUUAAUACAAGUCGGAUGAAUAAUUUCGAGGGUAGACAGCUGUGCAUAGUCAGAAGUGACGUCAGUCGCGUUGGGUUCAUAGUUCCUCUUAUUUUUCUCAUUCGGAGCUGCGUACAGACAUCGCGUGCGAAGGGGCGACAAUGAAAGCGGCAAAUAAGCGAAAAUAAAGAAAGAGCACGUUAAUGACCAAGCGAAAAUAAGAAAAAAAUACAAAGUCAAGUUUUCGAUGAACGAUAAUUAUCUCACUCGCACUCGUUACAGUGAAAAGAAUCAUCACAAUUUCUAGUCUGUUGCAUUUACAUCGAGAAAUCUUUUUUUUUUUCAUUUCUCGAUGAAAUAUUAUUAAAUCGAUUAUAUUUCAAACUGCACGUGCUAUGUAUCAUCGCCAUCGCGGAUCGAAACACGUUCGAUGCGCUCUUGUAACGAUGCGCAUUUAUCGAGCACGCAUCGCAGAUUGUUCGUAAUGCUUCGUCUUAGAAGAUUUGAUAAUUUCAUUAAAUAGUUAUCGUGCAAAGAUACACGAAAAAAAAAAAAAAAAAGAAAGAAAAGAAAAAAAUAACAUUUCAUAAUUCAGCAGUUUAUUUUAAACACUGAGAAUGAGACUGAAAUUCAAUUAUUAAAUCUUUUAGUCGAUUAAUUUAUUCGAGGCGGACGAGUUCGUUGAAAAGUAAUUACGGAAUCGGCAAGUUUGACCAAAUUUACUAAUACAUUAUAAAUAUUAUAUAGAGAUAUAAACUAAAUUCAUAUAAAUCUGCAAAUCCUUAGAACAAGAGAAAUCUGAAAUACGACAAGCAAUAAACGAUUGCUUUUAAAAUUAGGAUAUUAGUCUCAACGAACCAACAUGUUUUUUAUCCAAACGACAAUACAUCGUGACACGUUAGAACGAAUGAUAAUAGUUGAAAUUGCAAAAAAAGAAAGAUAUUAAAGGGAAAAAAGGGGGCGUUCGCGAUCGAUGCACUUCACCCUGUUGAAUUGUAUCUGUACGAGUAAUCAUCCAAUGAUUGGUUAUUUCGUUUUCUUUGAUACACGACCUAUCGGUCUGUCCGAGAAGAAACGACACACGCUUCAAUAUCAUCGUCAAAUGGACACAAAUGACUAGCUUAACAUUAUCUUCGAGCACGUUCGAGAUGCCCCGGUCUAGAUCAAAACUGUUCGUACCCGCGAACGCGAUCUCAACACAGACGUACAACACACCAUCAAGUGAGAACAAUCAUCUUCCACCCUUGAAGGGUAGCGCAUUGGCACUGAAGCAGCCUGCAAGUGAGUCGUCGCCUAGUUACUUGACCCGAACCAGUCACAUGGCCGGUACUCAUCUUCCGAGUUUAAGUUCCAGCGCCAACAACAGCUUGCUCAGCCUGACCGGGAACUCCGAUAGCUUGAACCUGAGCCUGAGUUCGCACACGAGCCACAACUCGAGUCACAACUCGAGCCAUAAUUCGAGCCACAAUUCGAGUCAUAAUUCGAGUCACAACAAUUCCAGUCAUAACUUCACUCAUAAUUCCAGUCAUAAUUUCAGUCACACCACCGCUCACGAGUCACAACACGCGCAGUCGAAUAGCCAAUCAAGCACCGCGUCAGUGGUGAAGAAUGGAUGUUCGAACGGAAGUUCCUGCGGCAGCGGUAUCCGCAAGCCGAAGACUAUCAUCGCCACACCGGACGUCGUGUUGAAGAUCUACGUGGACAAACUGACACCGUACGAGCACCACGAGAUUUUCAAUUAUCGGCAUAUAUAUUUUAUUGGGGCGAACGCGAAGAAGAGGCCGGGGAUAAUCGGUCGACCUCAUAACAAUGGCUACGACAACGAACAUGGUUCCUACAUCCACGUGACGCAUGAUCACGUGGCCUAUAGGUACGAGGUGUUGAAGGUGAUCGGUAAAGGUUCGUUCGGUCAGGUUGUAAAAGCGUACGAUCACAAAAAGCAGGAGCAUGUCGCCCUGAAGAUGGUGAGGAACGAGAAGAGGUUCCAUCGUCAGGCGCAGGAGGAAGUGAAGAUAUUGAGGAAGCUACGCGAACAGGAUAAGGACGACACGAUGAAUAUCAUUCAUAUGUUCGAUUCGUUCACGUUCCGUAACCACAUGUGCAUCACCUUCGAAUUACUCGGUAUUAAUCUGUACGAGUUGAUCAAGAAGAACAAGUUCCAGGGGUUCAGCAUGCAGCUUGUGAAGAAGUUCGCGCAUUCGCUGCUACAGUGCCUCGAUGUUCUCUACAAGAACAGGAUCAUACAUUGCGACAUGAAGCCGGAGAAUGUUCUCUUGAAGCAGCAGGGACGCAGUGGUAUCAAGGUGAUAGACUUUGGUUCGAGCUGCUACGAGAACCAACGCGUCUACACGUACAUUCAAAGUCGCUUCUAUCGCGCGCCAGAGGUGAUCCUGGGUGCAAAGUACGGUAUGCCAAUCGACAUGUGGAGCCUCGGUUGCAUCUUGGUGGAGCUGGUUACCGGUUUCCCGCUGCUGCCAGGCGAAGACGAGUCCGACCAGCUGGCCUGUAUCAUCGAGUUGCUAGGCAUGCCGCCGCCUCAGCUGUUAGAAUCCGCGAAACGGUGUAGGCAGUUCAUCAGCUCAAAGGGUUAUCCACGCUAUUGCACCGUUAUAACGAUGUCCGACGGUUCGAUCGUGUUGAACGGCGGUUUCUCCAGGAAAGGCAAAGACCGUGGCCCGCCCGGCUCCAGGGAUCUGAGGCAGGUAUUGAAAAAUUGCGACGAUCCAUAUUUCCUGGAUUUCAUUCAUCGCUGCCUGAAAUGGGACCCGGAACAGCGUAUGACACCUGGCAAAGCGUUGAAACACAGAUGGCUGCGCCGUAGAUUGCCAGAGCUUCCAAAGAAAACGAACGACGCUUUGCCCGCGUUACCGGCAGCCUCUGCGCCGCCUACCUCCGCUUCCGGCCUCCGUACUUCCGCGUCCGGUAGCAAAAGUUCGACCAAGUCGAACACGUUGCAGACCAACAAUACGGAGAACACGAACAAGGUGAAGCAGUUGAACGACAUCUUCCAUACCAUGUCUACCAUAUACUCGGCAUUGCAACGUAACGACGGUGGAAGAGGAAGAGGAAGAGAUCAAACGGUGGCAACCAAUCAUCAAGCGACCGUCAGCAGUCAUCCGUCGCUGAACUCUAUUAGUGGUGAUGCUAGUAGUGGUGGUGGUGGUGGUGGUGGUGACGGUAGUAGCAGUAGUACUAGUGGUAGUCAGCAGCAAUCGCAGCCACAGCAACAACAACAGCAGCAGCAACAACCACAACAACAGCAAGCUCAACAGCAACAGCAGCAACAGCAUAGUCAUCAAUUGCAAACGAAACAGCAGCACAAUAACGGUUCGCACGGAUCUCACGGGUCCCAUGGAUCCCAAGGAUCGCAUGGUUCUCAUGGAUCCCACGGAUCCAACGGAUGGAGCAUAUCGUUUCUCGAGUGGCUCGAGACGGUGGACAAUGAUUAGCAAGGACAUUAUCGAGCAACUGAGACGAUUCAUCGAAACACGAGAUCCCUCUUAUUACUUUUUUCUAACACGUUUACCGUGGUCGAUGUUGCCGUGAUCGCUGACCUCGUGUCUCGCUGAUUUGUCGGAUCAGAUCGACCGAUGUCUAUCUUCACGAUGUCGUCUUUCGACACGCGUUGUAUGUUUAGUAA